GAUGAACGCUGGCGGCGUGCUUAACACAUGCAAGUCGAACGGAAAGGCCCUGCUUGCAGGGUACUCGAGUGGCGAACGGGUGAGUAACACGUGGGUGAUCUGCCCUGUACUUUUGGAUAAGCCUGGGAGACAGGGUCUAAUACCGAAUAUGACAAUUGUUUGGAUGCGAUGGUGGAAAGCUUUUGUGGUGGGGGGUGAGCUCGCGGCCUAUCUGCUUGUUGGUGGGGUAGGGGCCUACAAAGGCGUCGAUGGGUGGCUGGCCGGAGAGGGUGAACGGCCAUAUGGGGUCAGAUACGGGCCCGACACCUACGCGGGGCAGAGAUGGGGAAUAUAGUACAAUGGGGGCAAGCCUGAUGUGGCGACACCGCGUGGGGGAUGACGGCCUUCGGGUUGUAAACACCUCUCGCAACCGAGGAGGCCCUUUGGUGACGGUAGGUUGAGAAGAAGCACCGGCUAACUACGUG
RNAcentral lists this ribosomal RNA (464 nucleotides) under uncultured bacterium. RNAcentral's name for it is "partial 16S ribosomal RNA". It matches the Rfam family "Bacterial small subunit ribosomal RNA", at positions 28 to 507 of the family's 1533-position model. The record is from RNAcentral.